This 194-nucleotide ribosomal RNA is filed under the name uncultured bacterium. RNAcentral describes it as "partial 16S ribosomal RNA". It matches the Rfam family "Bacterial small subunit ribosomal RNA", at positions 340 to 525 of the family's 1533-position model. The record is from RNAcentral.
UACGGGAGGCAGCAGUGGGGAAUUUUGGACAAUGGGCGCAAGCCUGAUCCAGCAAUGCCGCGUGCAGGAAGAAGGCCUUCGGGUUGUAAACUGCUUUUGUCAGGGAAGAAAUCUUCUGGGCUAAUACCCCGGGAGGAUGACGGUACCUGAAGAAUAAGCACCGGCUAACUACGUGCCAGCAGCCCGCGGUAAUA